Molecule: ribosomal RNA, 857 nt
Filed under: Goeppertia variegata
Lineage: Eukaryota; Viridiplantae; Streptophyta; Magnoliopsida; Zingiberales; Marantaceae
Description: eukaryotic LSU rRNA
Rfam family: 5.8S ribosomal RNA (bases 316-471)
Source: RNAcentral
UUCGCCGCUCGUGACGUCAUGAGAAGUCCACUGAACCUUAUCAUUUAGAGGAAGGAGAAGUCGUAACAAGGUUUCCGUAGGUGAACCUGCGGAAGGAUCAUUGUUGAAAAUCCUCAGCGAGGAGGACCGCGAACGCGUCAACGAAUGUGGUCGGGCCGGGGCCUGCCUCUCGGUCCGACGCAGUCCCUGCCCUCUCGGUGCGGACGACGGACCAAAAACCCCCCCGGCGCGAUGGGCGCCAAGGAACACGAAACUCGCGGGCGGGCGGGGCUUUCGUCCUGGCCGCGCCGUAGUAGUUAUUGAUCGGAACUGAAUGGCUCUCGGCAACGGAUAUCUCGGCCCUCGCAUCGAUGAAGAACGUAGCAAAAUGCGAUACGUGGUGUGAAUUGCAGAAUCCCGCGAACCAUUGAGUCUUUGAACGCAAGUUGCGCCCGAGGCCUUCCGGCCGAGGGCACGCCUGCCUGGGCGUCACACGCCAUCAUCGUCGCUCCGCGCGCCCUCGCCCCCGCGCACGAGUGGCGGAGUCGGACGCAGACAUUGGCCCCCCGUGCCCCUGGGCGGCGCGCGGUCGGCCGAAGAGCGGGCCGUCGCUGGUGGUCGGGCACGACGGGUGGUGGCGCCACGAGCGAGCCGAACGUCGUGCCCCUGCCGUGGAGAUGAUGAGCUUCGGAGGCCCCCCACCCCACCCCACCAUAAAUUGGUUUGCUUCGGAUUGCGACCUCAGGUCAGGCGGGGCCACCCGCUGAGUUUAAGCAUAUAAAUAAGCGGAGGAGAAGAAACUUACGAGGAUUCCUAUAGUAACGGCGAGCGAACCGGGAUGAGCCCAGCAUGAGAAUCGGGCGGCCGCACCGUUCGAA